RNAcentral lists this ribosomal RNA (398 nucleotides) under Alnicola pallidifolia. RNAcentral describes it as "partial small subunit ribosomal RNA". Lineage: Eukaryota; Fungi; Basidiomycota; Agaricomycetes; Agaricales; Hymenogastraceae. The record is from RNAcentral.
GCGCCGCGAAGUAGAUUUUAAAUAAGGUCAAACAUUAUAAAUAAUAAAUAUUGGUUUAUUAUUUGUAUAUCUUUUUCUCCGUAGGAGUAGGAUUUAUUUAAAUUAAUAAAUUAAACGAUUCUUACUCCCCUCUCCGAAGGAGUAACUCCGUAGGAGUUACUCCUUCGGAGAGGACUCCUUCCUUUUGCUCUCCGUAGGAAAAGCAAGAGGGAUCCUUACAGGGAGAAAGAGUCGGAGAAAAUUGAUUUGAUUAUUCAUUUAUUUGAGUAAUUAGUGUAGUUAUUCUUUAAUAUAUAAUUUUAUUAUAUUUUUUACUAGGUAUUUAACUGCUUUUUUUAGGUCUAAUUAGUUUCGACUAACCCAUCUGAGUAACAUCUCAAAAGUCAUAGCARGGUAGC